Molecule: ribosomal RNA, 351 nt
Filed under: uncultured bacterium
Lineage: Bacteria
Description: bacterial SSU rRNA
Rfam family: Bacterial small subunit ribosomal RNA
Source: RNAcentral
CGGGAGGCAGCAGUGAGGAAUAUUGGUCAAUGGGCGAGAGCCUGAACCAGCCAAGUAGCGUGAAGGAUGACUGCCUAUGGGUUGUAAACUUCUUUUAUAAAGGAAUAAGUCGGGUAUGCAUACCCGUUUGCAUGUACUUUAUGAAUAAGGAUCGGCUAACUCCGUGCCAGCAGCCGCGGUAAUACGGAGGAUCCGAGCGUUAUCCGGAUUUAUUGGGUUUAAAGGGAGCGUAGAUGGAUGUUUAAGUCAGUUGUGAAAGUUUGCGGCUCAACCGUAAAAUUGCAGUUGAUACUGGAUAUCUUGAGUGCAGUUGAGGCAGGCGGAAUUCGUGGUGUAGCGGUGAAAUGCUUA